AGAGUUUGAUCCUGGCUCAGGACGAACGCUGGCGGCGUGCUUAACACAUGCAAGUCGAGCGAUGAAGUUCCUUCGGGAACGGAUUAGCGGCGGACGGGUGAGUAACACGUGGGUAACCUGCCUCAUAGAGGGGAAUAGCCUUCCGAAAGGAAGAUUAAUACCGCAUAAGAUUGUAGUUUCGCAUGAAACAGCAAUUAAAGGAGUAAUCCGCUAUGAGAUGGACCCGCGUCGCAUUAGCUAGUUGGUGAGGUAACGGCUCACCAAGGCGACGAUGCGUAGCCGACCUGAGAGGGUGAUCGGCCACAUUGGGACUGAGACACGGCCCAGACUCCUACGGGAGGCAGCAGUGGGGAAUAUUGCACAAUGGGGGAAACCCUGAUGCAGCAACGCCGCGUGAGUGAUGACGGUCUUCGGAUUGUAAAACUCUGUCUUCAGGGACGAUAAUGACGGUACCUGAGGAGGAAGCCCCGGCUAACUACGUGCCAGCAGCCGCGGUAAUACGUAGGUGCGAGCGUUGUCCGGAAUUAUUGGGCGUAAAGAGCUUGUAGGCGGUUUGUCGCGUCUGCUGUGAAAAUCCGGGGCUCAACCCCGGACUUGCAGUGGGUACGGGCAGACUAGAGUGUGGUAGGGGAGACUGGAAUUCCUGGUGUAGCGGUGGAAUGCGCAGAUAUCAGGAGGAACACCGAUGGCGAAGGCAGGUCUCUGGGCCACUACUGACGCUGAGAAGCGAAAGCAUGGGGAGCGAACAGGAUUAGAUACCCUGGUAGUCCAUGCCGUAAACGUUGGGAACUAGGUG
This 796-nucleotide ribosomal RNA is filed under the name uncultured bacterium. RNAcentral's name for it is "bacterial SSU rRNA". It matches the Rfam family "Bacterial small subunit ribosomal RNA", at positions 8 to 822 of the family's 1533-position model. The record is from RNAcentral.